This 490-nucleotide ribosomal RNA is filed under the name uncultured bacterium. RNAcentral's name for it is "partial 16S ribosomal RNA". It matches the Rfam family "Bacterial small subunit ribosomal RNA", at positions 30 to 507 of the family's 1533-position model. The record is from RNAcentral.
AUUGAACGCUGGCGGCAUGCUUUACACAUGCAAGUCGGACGGCAGCACAUAGAUUCUUUCUUCGUUUGUGGCUAGUGGCGUACGGGUGAGUAAUAUAUCGGAACAUACCGAGUAAUGGGGGUUAACUAAUCGAAAGAUUAGCUAAUACCGCAUAUUCUCUGAGGAGGAAAGCAGGGGACCUUCGGGCCUUGCGUUAUUCGAGCGGCCGAUAUCUGAUUAGUUAGUUGGUGGGGUAAAGGCCUACCAUGGCGAAGAACAGUAGCGGGAGGUAGCGGAUGAGGCGGCACAGUGGGACUGAGACACGGACCCGACUCAGACGGGUGGCAGAGGUGGGGAAUUUUGGAAAAUGGGCGUAAGCCGGAUCCAGACAUGCCGCGUGUGUGAAGAAGGUCUUCGGGUUGUAAAGGACUUUUGUCAGGGAAGACAAGGAUGUUGCUAAUAUCGAAAGCUGAUGACGGUACCUGAAGAAUAAGCACCGGCUAACUACGUG